CGGCCGCGGUAUCCUGACCGUGCGAAGGUAGCAUAAUCAUUUGUUCUUUAAAUAGGGACUAGUAUCAACGGCAUCACGAGGGUUAUACUGUCUCCUCUCUCCAAUCAGUGAAACUGAUCUCCCCGUGAAGAAGCGGGGAUGAAUCUAUAAGACGAGAAGACCCCAUGGAGCUUUAAACUCAACAACAACCUCCUCUAAAUAUUCUACACAAUUAUGGAAGUUCUGUUUGUUAGUUUUGGGUUGGGGUGACCGCGGAGAAAAAUUAAACCUCCACGACGAAUGGAAUUAACUCCUAAUCUAAGAGCCACCACUCUAAGAAUCAAUAAAUUGACAUAACAUGAUCCGAUAGUCGAUCAACGGACCAAGUUACCCUGGGGAUAACAGCGCAAUCCAUUUCAAGAGCUCCUAUCGACAAAUGGGUUUACGACCUCGAUGUUGGAUCAGGGUAUCCCAGUGGUGCAGCCGCU
RNAcentral lists this ribosomal RNA (467 nucleotides) under Nanorana liebigii (spiny-armed frog). RNAcentral's name for it is "partial large subunit ribosomal RNA". It matches the Rfam family "Bacterial large subunit ribosomal RNA", at positions 1928 to 2563 of the family's 2925-position model. Lineage: Eukaryota; Metazoa; Chordata; Amphibia; Anura; Dicroglossidae. The record is from RNAcentral.